This 1068-nucleotide long non-coding RNA is filed under the name Vitis vinifera (wine grape). RNAcentral's name for it is "long non-coding RNA (VVIN_LNC003419)". The record is from RNAcentral. Lineage: Eukaryota; Viridiplantae; Streptophyta; Magnoliopsida; Vitales; Vitaceae.
AAAAGGUGUAUGAGUCCAAUAAACAGCAAUUAGCAAAUAGAAUGGAAUACAGAAACUUAUGAAUAAUAUAAUUCACCUCUUACAAGUCAAUUAUAGCCCUUUCCCAAACAGUUGAGACAUCAUUGUACCCUGUAAUACAAUGGGAAACCAUCAAUUCUUCAUGCCUGAAAAAACUAAAAAGAAGAAGAAAAGAAAAGAAAGUAAACACAAGACAUGCUUUGCAAAAGAGUAAAAAAUAAUGAAAAAUGUGGGUUAAGAAUCAAAAUUUGGAUUCUUAAAUUUUCAGAACAAUCAAACAGAAAAUAAAGAGAAAACAUUUUCAAAGUAAAUGCAACUCCAACCUGUUCCCAUCACAAGUAGGGCAAAUACAAGGGUUUAUAACAACAGGGUCAUACAGAGGAGGCCAUUCGAUUGUGGAGUUCCUCUUGCAUAGUUUGCAUAUGUAAUAGCCUUUUCCUCUACAAACCCCACAAGGCAAUGCAACCUAAGAUCAAACAACCCCACCAAAAUUAUGUAUAAGUAUGUAUACACAGAGAGAAAGAGGAUCUCUUACGCAUUUAGCGUCGCCAGCUGCUCGAAGCGUUCGCAUGGUGACAGAUGAAGCUAGAGAGAGUUAACAUUCCGCCGAAUAUGAUAGCAGUUGCAGCACCCAUGGCUCUGAGUGGCAGAGGCACACCGUCCACCAUCUUCUUUCUCGUAGGCGUCGCCUCGAGCACCUGGUGUGCCUGUAAAUACACAUACCUGCAACUCUAAUUCGCUCUGGCUGGAAAGCCUGGUUCUUUUCGUCAGCUCCCAAAAUUUUAUGCACCAGCUCAAAACGCAGCAUUCCUGUAGCGUGGCGAGUCAGGCGAUUGGCCGAAGGUGAAAAUUUAUGGCCAAAAAACUUUCUCAAUGGAACGGGUUAAGGAAUUAUAUGUAUUACUAAAUUGGAAUGCAUAAUUUUCCUUUUACCACAUUUUUCAAUCUCUACCACUCUUGCCAAAAAUCUUAGGCAUCCCAUGUGAGGAUCCAAGAAGGACGAUAACUAAUAUAUAUUGCUUACUAUAUCUCUGUUUAAUUGAACAUAAG